Heterocephalus glaber (naked mole-rat) is the source of this 587-nucleotide long non-coding RNA. NCBI's taxonomy places the organism in Eukaryota, Metazoa, Chordata, Mammalia, Rodentia, Bathyergidae. The record is from Ensembl.
GAGAAAUCUAGUCUUAACUCCACCCCGGACAGCUGCCUUCAAAAGGAGCCAAAAUCUCAGCCUGCCUAAGUAUGAAUGGAUGUCAAAGGGAAAGGUGGAGGACAACAGCCCGUGGCAAGGACAGCUUCAUGAGCUGGAGAAGGAUCGUUGUCCUGGGCGCUGAUCAGCCUGGAUUGUAAAUGAACGCGAUUUUCUGACAGCAGCGCAAAACGCUCCGGAUACUGAUGCGCUCACGUGACUUUGUCCAGACUCCUCUCCAUGGCGCUCUAUCCAUCGUGAUGGACACAAGGGCACAGCUUCCUGCUUCUCUCAUUCUUGGGCCUGGGAUGAUGAUGCAAUAAUCAUCAUCUGAAACAUUUCAAGCUGGAUGUUAGAGCAAAAGAGCAUAUGGCACGGAUGUAUUCAUUCUGAAAGCUUCAUUCUAUUGAAAUAGAUUAUUAGAGGUCUGCCCAUGCCCUACCGAGGUCCUGAGUCUCCCAGAACACACCAAAUCAGCCCCCUGCAGACAGACAGGUCUGUGCACACCCUACCGAGGAACUGAGUCAUGCAGAAGACACCCAAUCACCCCGCUGCAGACAGGCAACCAC